UACGUAGGGUGCGAGCGUUGUUCGGAAUUACUGGGCGUAAAGCGCGCGCAGGCGGUCCUUUAAGUCAGAGGUGAAAGCCCAGAGCUCAACUCUGGAAUGGCCUUUGAGACUAGAGGACUUGGGUACGGGAGAGGUGAGUGGAAUUCCGAGUGUAGAGGUGAAAUUCGUAGAUAUUCGGAAGAACCCCAGUGGCGAAGGCGGCUCACUGGCCCGUUACCGACGCUCAGGCGCGACAGCGUGGGGAGCAAACAGG
Molecule: ribosomal RNA, 253 nt
Filed under: uncultured bacterium
Lineage: Bacteria
Description: partial 16S ribosomal RNA
Rfam family: Bacterial small subunit ribosomal RNA
Source: RNAcentral